CGGGUCAUUAUAAAUUAUGCCUUUCGAUUAUCGCAACGCCUCGUCGCGUUUGGUUAAGCACAUGGUGGAACAGUAUGCACAUCACUGUACCUAACGUACUGUACACCUGUGAGCGGCAUGACGAGACAAAAGACGGUAAAACUCAUUAUUAAUCGGUGAUGCUGUACAUUCUGGAUGAUGCACAGCCACAUUUUAUAAUACUGUUUUUAUUUUCGUGUCGCGCCGCUCGCGUUCAAUAUAAAGUUAGACAAGACGCAAUUAAUUACUGGGAGAGUAGUGGUCUAAUGUUAAGAGUCGAACUUCACAAACCUUUCACUGCUUGCAGUAAGGCUAAAGUGCUACGUGAAUAAGAUGGGUGUAGUUUUGUGCUACUAGCUGUAAAGUGUUUUUGCACUAUUGAGUUAUAAAUACUGCCCAGUAAUACUUAACUAGAUGUAAAUCACAAUUCUUGUGUCAAUGUUUGUUUGUAAUCUUUUUCAGCUAUCCAUCUGAAAAAGAAAAGCUGGCACUCUCAAAGGAGAUUGUGUUGUUGGUUUAUGGUCUCAUUUGGUCAAAAAGAGGGACAUGUACCGAGCAUUUUUUUUUUUUUUUUUUUUUUUUUUUUUUUUUGAUGGGCCAUCACACAGUGGAUUUAUAAAAUGAGAUUACAGAACAUCAGACGGUAGCUUCAACAGAGUUGAAGUGGGAGGACAUCAUCAAUAAAGAAUGCCAUUGACCAAACCUUCAGUCAUCAAAGAAGAUGGAUACAGGGGGACAUCAAGUUUUCCAGACUUACCGAUGGGAAAGAAGAAAUGGGAAUGUGACAAUUAUUGAGAAACUCAGGGAAAAAGCAUCUUUAGAGAAGAAAAUGGACAUCAGACAUUUAUUGAAGAAAGCUGACAGUGAACAUAAUGAUGAGAGCUGUGUUAUACAAUGUUAAGGAUACUCGUUCAUCUUCUGCUGUGUGAAUUCUGCUGUGUCAGUCCUGUGGGACUUGAUGCCGGCUGGUACCAGUGUGACGUCUUUGCUUACUAAAUGAUCAAAGGGUGUCUGAAAUCAGCUCAGCCACAGUUGGUUUCCAGCGGUUCUUCAGGACAUGGAGGCCACUACGUAACUGUUGCAAUGAACGAUUAUUUUGCCUUUCCACCUGAUGUUGACAAUCUGACCUGUGCGGUGCUGAAAACAACUUGCACUGAAAUAUAUCUUAAAAUAUAUCAGUGCCCUUUGUUUUGCCUCAAAAUGCACACCAGUAAUGUUUUUUGUUGAAACCAGUUAUAUUUCCUAAUUAAACUAAGGCCUAGUCCUGGAUUAAGCUAAUCCCCUGUCCGGGAAACCGCCCCUAAAUGUUUUGUGACGGAAAUUUCUUUGAAUACACUUGUCAAGUUAAUUUGAAGUAUUUUUCUAAAUGUAAGAUAACAUGUUAAUGUUUCAGGACAAGUUAAAAAAUUUUGAUAACUGGCAUGUUGGAAACGAUUUCAGACAUUGUUCUAUUCAACAUGUUUAACACAGUUGCUUUUAAAUUCAAUGAAUUAUUUUAUAAACAGUGUGUUAAAACGUAUCAAUGUAAUGUAUGUUUGAAGUAAUUAUACUUGCACUUACAUUUAUUUAAAUUAGCAUACAUCUAGCAACAUAAAGUAGGCUACUAGCAUAUUUUCAUGCAAGCAUUAAUUGUCAAAUAUUUGUUAUUU
This is a non-coding RNA of Misgurnus anguillicaudatus (oriental weatherfish), 1667 nucleotides long. NCBI's taxonomy places the organism in Eukaryota, Metazoa, Chordata, Actinopteri, Cypriniformes, Cobitidae. The record is from RefSeq and is a predicted model, not a curated record.